CUGUUGUUUUUAGACCGUAGGCCUUGCUACUGCUAGUAGUUAUCCAAUAUUGGUUCUAGAUGGAUAUAGUCUACCUUUUUUCUCUAGAUUUCCUGUCGGGAAAAUGAUCAUGUUAACAGUGCUGGUCAAGCCAUUACAUUUUUCUUUUGUUUCACGAUUUUAUCAAAAUUGUCAAAGUUGUGGAGUGAAUUAAAAACAGAAUAAGCUCAUAUUAAUAACAGAUGUAGAAUAAUAUUGUUAACUUUUUCAUUCCUGAAUCGGUAUAUUCAGGUAUGAAAAAGGCCCCAUUAGCCUCGUACACGUUGAAAAGCCUCCCACAAUUAUUGACCAAUCAACGAUCGAUGCCAAGUGACGAUAAACAAUUGCACCAUACGAGUCAAGUGUAGCAAUUUUAGGGGUAAUCAAAACAGUCACCUCCCAAAUUAGACUGAAUAUGUUGAAAUAUUAACUACAAUUUGCUGUAAGGCUUUUCUCAGAUGAGAAUAUGGUUUUCCUUUUUUUUUUUUUUGUACCGAAUUCGGCCGUAAUAUGGAAGCGAGGGCUGGGCUCUGAUUGGCUGGAUUUUUGGACAAGGUAUGGCAAAACGCAAAGGUGAAUGUAAGACAGGAUGGUCAAAUGAUCCUACUCAUGGUGGGGUUCAAGGAAUAUCAUAAUGCAAUCUUUGCUGUUGGAUAGGGCUACUGGCAUAAAAUGUCUAAAAUCUCACUAACAUGUGUUCUUCAAAACCACGCCCCCAAGCAACUGUUCCUCUUGUCAGGAAGCCCCCGCCAGUUUAGUGCAUGACCAAAGGCAUCUGAUGUCACUUUUACUACCGCCACCACCACCACCACUAGUUCUCACUGUCCCCUGCACUUUCGUUCUGCUGGUACUAUUGAAGUGACCCCUUCGCACAACAAUGCACUGCAUUAAAGGUCUAAGGACCACUAAUAGAGGGAUUCUUCUGUUACUUAAAAAUGCUGGAAACUCUGCCCGGGUUGGCGCUGAAAACACGGCGUUGUACAGGACACAUCCCGGGCAGUUGUUCUGGUGGAGCUCAGCAUCGCAGCUCCAGCGAUCCUUUCAUCAGACGACUCAUAAAGAAGAACAACGGGGCAAAAACAGGUUGAUACAUGGCCUGGAGGACCUGCUCUUCUACACCAUCACAGAUGGCAAAGACCAAAUCCCCCUGCCCCAGUUCAUUUCUGUAAGUCCAUCACACAUUUUGCUAUAUUUAUUGUGUGUGUGUGUGUGUGUGUGUGUGUGUGUGUGUGUGUGUGUGUGUGUGUGUGUGUGUGUGUGUGUGUGUGUGUGUGUGUGUGAAUGCACACUUGUGCAUUCAAGUGUGCAUCUUUGCGUGUGUGUGUUUGUAUGUGUUGUGAAUGUCCAAACACAUUGUCCUAAGAAGCCAAUGGCAACGCAUGGAUGCUAA
This 1408-nucleotide long non-coding RNA is filed under the name Gadus morhua (Atlantic cod). RNAcentral describes it as "lncRNA (ENSGMOG00000032560.1)". The record is from RNAcentral. Lineage: Eukaryota; Metazoa; Chordata; Actinopteri; Gadiformes; Gadidae.